AAAUGAAUAGACGGGGACCCGCACAAGCGGUGGAGCAUGUGGUUUAAUUCGAAGCAACGCGAAGAACCUUACCAAGUCUUGACAUCUAACUGACAGGCUGUUAACCCAGCCAUUCCUUCGGGACAGUUAAGACAGGUGGUGCAUGGUUGUCGUCAGCUCGUGUCGUGAGAUGUUGGGUUAAGUCCCGCAACGAGCGCAACCCUUAUCUUUAGUAGCCAGCGAGUAGAGUCGGGCACUCUAGAGAGACUGCCGGGGAUAACCCGGAGGAAGGUGGGGAUGACGUCAAAUCAUCAUGCCCCUUAUGAUUUGGGCUACACACGUGCUACAAUGGCGUAAACAAAGGGAGGCGACCCUGUGAAGGUGAGCAAAUCCCAAAAAUAACGUCUCAGUUCGGAUUGUAGUCUGCAACUCGACUACAUGAAGCUGGAAUCGCUAGUAAUCGCGGAUCAGAAUGCCGCGGUGAAUACGUUCCCGGGUCUUGUACACACCGCCCGU
This 495-nucleotide ribosomal RNA is filed under the name uncultured bacterium. Its description in RNAcentral is "bacterial SSU rRNA". It matches the Rfam family "Bacterial small subunit ribosomal RNA", at positions 903 to 1397 of the family's 1533-position model. The record is from RNAcentral.